This 299-nucleotide signal recognition particle RNA is filed under the name Saimiri boliviensis boliviensis (Bolivian squirrel monkey). Its description in RNAcentral is "Metazoan signal recognition particle RNA (ENSSBOG00000002004.1)". It matches the Rfam family "Metazoan signal recognition particle RNA". From Rfam's summary of the family: The signal recognition particle (SRP) is a universally conserved ribonucleoprotein. It is involved in the co-translational targeting of proteins to membranes. The eukaryotic SRP consists of a 300-nucleotide 7S RNA and six proteins: SRPs 72, 68, 54, 19, 14, and 9. The record is from RNAcentral. Lineage: Eukaryota; Metazoa; Chordata; Mammalia; Primates; Cebidae.
GCCAGGCGCGGUGGCACGUGCUUGUAGUCCCAGUUACUCGGGAGACUGAGGUGGGAGAAUCCCUUGAGUCCAGGAGUUCUGAGUUGCAGUGCGCUAUGCCGAUCAGGUGUCUGCACUAAGUUCAGCAUCAAUAUGGUGACCUCCCAGGAGCGGGGGACCACCAGGUUGCCUAAGUAGGGGUGAACUGGCCCAGGUCAGAAACGGAGCAAGUCAAAACUCCCGUGCUGAUCAGCAGUGGGACUGCUCCUGUGAAUAGCCACUGCACUCCAGCCUGGGCAACAUAGUGAGACCCCGUCUCU